CAGAAUGGCCGAAUCAGAAGGAAGUACUGAUUUGAAAGAAGAAGAAAACAAUUCUUCAACACCCUCAGAAGAUAUUGUCAAGUUUAAAGACCCUUUGUUAACUGGUCUAGACAGAGAGAGUGACGAUGACGGGAUGGAAAGUCUUGACCUCGAUGCAUCCGGCCGGUCAGACAUCACUGUGUCAAGAAGUUCGAGUUUGAUCGCUAAUUUCCGACUGGAUGACUAUCAAGAUGGAGAGCUGAAGGAUCUGUUUGUGUUCGUGGAUAACCCCGAGAAACACAGCGGCACCAUCGAGACCUACAUCACGUUCAGAGUGUCCACUAAGACAACCAGGAGUAUAUUUGAUUCGACUGACUUCUGCGUUCGACGGCGUUACAAUGAUUUCUUGUGGCUCCGACAGAAGCUGGAAGAAACGUAUCAGACUCACCUUGUCCCUCCGCUACCAGAAAAGCACAGUUUGAAGAGACUGGAUCGAUUCAGUGCCGACUUCCUCCGAGUUCGCCAGGCCGCACUACAGAAGUUUCUCACACGUCUGGCUGAUCACCCGGUUCUCUCGUUUGACAAGAGCUUUCAAGCUUUCCUCACUUCAAAAGCAUGGGAGUUCCAGGCCCACAAGAAGCAGGUGUCGGGGAUACUAACGCGCGUGACGGAUUCGCUACACAACAUGGGCGCGUCGUACAUGAUGAAGAAUCGACCCCCAGAGUUCAUGACCAUGCAUGACUACGUUAACACCUUCAGUGACAAGGUUGCAGUCAUGGACAGAAUAUCGUCGAGGAUUCUCAAGGAACAAACUGACUAUUUGAGUGAAUUGAAUGAGUGGGGACCGGUCUACACGUUAUGGUCGAAUUCCGAAGAUCAGCUUAGUUCUUCUCUGCUGUGUAUGUCCAAAACUAUUGACAAGUGCUGUCACGCCCUCAAGGAAGUGAUUGACUCGACAGAUGACCAGCUUACCCAACCUCUCAGGGAAUACAUUUUAUACUCGGAGUGUAUCAAGGCAGUAUUACGUCGUAGAGACGCCAUGCAGAUGGAGUAUGACAUGAUAGUGGAUGAGCUCAACAAGAAGAAAGAAGAAAGAGAACAGGUGAAGACAUCGGAUCAGACGUAUUCAAUUGGUGCUUUUCUCGGCAAAGAUCCAGAGGAUGUGAAACAACAAAAACAGGAGAAGUUGGAGCAGCAGAUUCACGAGCUGACGUGUCAGAUGGAGAUGCUGAACGACCGGUCGGUGGUGGCGAACGCGGACCUCAAGUCGGACAUGGAGCGUUGGCACAAGACAAAGCAGCAUGACAUGAAGGAGAUUCUCGUCAGCAUGGCCGACCAACAGAUCGUGUACUACGAGAAGUGCCUUGCCGCAUGGGAGGAUGCAAUCAAGUCAUUCCAGAUCACAGGUCACAAGAAAGGGGAGACAACCACAGAAAAACCGAAAGACUUGCCAGCUGAAUCUGCCACAUAGAAAACGAACGAUGGUGUGAAAAAACCCCACCACAGUGUAACGUUAAUUACUGGCACACACAAUGUGUACGUCAGAUACUACAUAUUGCUGUUGUAAUUCUACAGAAUUUGAACAAACACCUAAACAACAUUUGUCACCUGUCUGCUAUAGUUGAUCAUGCUCUAGAUUUGGAGUCCAGUUGUGAAGAUAAAAAACGCUGUCUCUGUCAAGUCUUCUUUGGAACCGCAAAGCUUGAAAGCCAGUGUUGCUCCAUUUGGUCAGUGCUUUAACUUGGCUUCAGUGCAGAGGGGUCAGAAUUGCAGGAUGUGCCCUGGGGACUGUGGUCCUGUUGAACAUGGACAUUCAUCAGUGUCUGCCAGUUUCAGGUGGUACAUGCAGGGCUCACGCGGCCGGGCGAAGUGAGCCAAAACUUCGCUCUCACCAGCCUGACUUUGCCGUGCUAGUCACCGUACGGCAAAAUCUAUGUCACCUUUUUAAAAAUAGCUUCAUAGAUAAUAAUUAAGUGUGAAUGGCCUGAGAGUUUGAAGAGACACUGGCACCACAAAAUCAUGCGACUGGCAAACAUUUUUUGUAUUGUACACAACAGUGACAAGGUGCAGCAGAUAAGCAAUGUUCACACCUUCACGGAUACUAGUACCCAUUCAGUCUUACAACUCCACAGUGUAUUAAUUAAGAAAUUGUGACUGUGGUACGCAUUUACUUGCCUCUGGGUAAUCUAAGCUUGACCAUGGUAGAUUAAUCUUCUAGGACAAUAUUCUGCAUGGAGUAGACCUAGGUAUUAAAUGAAUGAGAAGACAAACUUGUGAGAGAAUGACUUCUAAACAGUUAAAUUAGUGCUUUUCAAUUACAUUUCAUUAUUUCUGAAGAAUGUGACAUGAGAAAAGGUGAUUUAAAAAAACCUAUAGAGCACAUAGCCAUCAAUUAGCAGUACAGAUGGUAAACAAAUAUAAAAUAAAAUACAGA
Molecule: unclassified non-coding RNA, 2413 nt
Filed under: Gigantopelta aegis
Lineage: Eukaryota; Metazoa; Mollusca; Gastropoda; Neomphalida; Peltospiridae
Description: sorting nexin-30-like, transcript variant X1
Source: RNAcentral